CAUGUUUUGGUAACCAUUGUAAUUGGUGAGAGGGUGAGAGUUGCAGUAAUUAUGCAAUAGUUACACCCAAAAUCCAAAUUUUUAAAAAAAAUAUUUUUUAUACACAUUAUAAAAUUAUAUUAUAAACAUGACAGGUGAUGCGGUCGUUGAAAGCACCAAAAAUAUCCUAUCCCUAAUAAAUAAUGAAAAAGAAUAGUAAAAGGGAAGUAGGGUCAAAUCCUCAGGGACUGGAUUUACACAAUAUCUUAUUCCGUGAAAUCCCGAUAGAAUCUUGCCCAAGAAAACCUGCGUGCCUGGAAAAAAAAUAAAAAUAACAGAAUUAAAGGUUUGGAUCUAAAAAUGAAAAAUAAAAUAAAAAUAGAAUUAAGAAUAUUGAAUCGAAAAUUUGAGAAAUUAAAAAUAGAGUUGAGAGAAAGGAAAUUCUUAUGGGAGAUUCCAGCCUCCAGUUGUCUCGUUCCGCCUUGGUUCAAUCCUCGACUUUUAGAUGAUCCUUCCCAAACCGAAUAAGCCAGUUAUAGUGGAAGGGGACGCUUACAACCACCAGCUCCAAGGAUUUAGACUUACGAUUUAGUGGAACCUAACUCUAGCCAACAAUUGCUUCUAUGGGAUCGUUUUAGGCUAGAUCAACGCUUCUCAAUGGUGAAUCCCACGCCAUUUUGUCUCUUGGGCUCGUCAACUUCUGACACAGUAAGCUAACAGACCGACUGUGCAACCUUCCCAAAACAUACAAAGCGGCCACCUUUGCAUACGUUGAAAAGCUUACUUCUUAAGGGACAUGGACGAAAGCG
Molecule: long non-coding RNA, 788 nt
Filed under: Gossypium raimondii (Peruvian cotton)
Lineage: Eukaryota; Viridiplantae; Streptophyta; Magnoliopsida; Malvales; Malvaceae
Description: long non-coding RNA (GRAI_LNC008039)
Source: RNAcentral